CUCAGAAUCAACGCUGGCGGCGCGCUUAACACAUGCAAGUCGAGCGAGAAAGGGGAGCAAUCCCUGAGUAAAGCGGCGCACGGGUGAGUAACACGUGGGGCAUCUACCUCCUGAUGGGGAAUAACUCUGGGAAACCGGAGCUAAUACCGCAUAAGCCUGAGAAGGGAAAGUCGCAAGACGUCGGGAGAGGACCCCGCGGCCGAUUAGCUAGUUGGUGAGGUAACGGCUCACCAAGGCAAAGAUCGGUAGCCGGCCUGAGAGGGCACACGGCCACACUGGCACUGAAACACGGGCCAGACUCCUACGGGAGGCAGCAGUGGGGAAUCUUGCACAAUGGGGGAAACCCUGAUGCAGCGACGCCGCGUGAGCGAUGAAGCCCUUCGGGGCGUAAAGCUCUUUCGGCCCGAACGAUAAUGACGGUACGGGAAGAAGAAGCUGCGGCUAACUACGUGCCAGCAGCCGCGGUAAUACGUAGGCAGCAAGCGUUGUUCGGAGUUACUGGGCGUAAAGAGUGCGUAGGCGGUGUCGAAAGUUUGGCGUGAAAUCUCCCGGCUUAACUGGGAGGGUGCGCCGAAAACUGCGACGCUGGAGUGUGGGAAAGGCAAGCGGAAUUCCUGGUGUAGCGGUGAAAUGCGUAGAUAUCAGGAGGAACACCGGCGGUGUAGACGGCUUGCUAGACCAUAACUGACGCUGAGGCACGAAAGCGUGGGUAGCAAACAGGAUUAGAUACCCUGGUAGUCCACGCCCUAAACGAUGCAUACUUGGUGUGGGCAGUUCAUUCUGUCCGUGCCGGAGCUAACGCGUUAAGUAUGCCGCCUGGGGAGUACGGUCGCAGGCUGAAACUC
RNAcentral lists this ribosomal RNA (845 nucleotides) under uncultured bacterium. RNAcentral describes it as "bacterial SSU rRNA". It matches the Rfam family "Bacterial small subunit ribosomal RNA", at positions 23 to 902 of the family's 1533-position model. The record is from RNAcentral.